This 179-nucleotide transfer-messenger RNA is filed under the name Alphaproteobacteria bacterium. RNAcentral describes it as "partial transfer-messenger RNA". It matches the Rfam family "Alphaproteobacteria transfer-messenger RNA", at positions 1 to 199 of the family's 355-position model. From Rfam's summary of the family: Bacterial tmRNA, also known as 10Sa RNA or SsrA, is named for its dual tRNA and mRNA-like properties. Its role is to liberate the mRNA from a stalled ribosome. Lineage: Bacteria; Pseudomonadati; Pseudomonadota; Alphaproteobacteria. The record is from RNAcentral.
UAACUUCCUUUUUCUUUGAAAAACGUGUAUAAUAUCCUUGUUCCUUUAAGGAACUAUGAUGCUAAACGGGAAGCGAAAUAUACGCUGUGGACUCGGGGGCGGUACCCGACACCUCCACCAUUUACGGGGGUGAACAAGUUUCGACACGCGUCGUAAAGGCUUUUUCUUGUAUCCGGUAU